RNAcentral lists this ribosomal RNA (440 nucleotides) under uncultured bacterium. RNAcentral describes it as "partial 16S ribosomal RNA". It matches the Rfam family "Bacterial small subunit ribosomal RNA", at positions 338 to 795 of the family's 1533-position model. The record is from RNAcentral.
CCUACGGGAGGCAGCAGUAGGGAAUAUUGCUCAAUGGGGGAAACCCUGAAGCAGCAACGCCGCGUGGGGGAUGAAGGUUUUAGGAUUGUAAACUCCUUUUGUUAGAGAAGAUUAUGACGGUAUCUAACGAAUAAGCCCCGGCUAACUCCGUGCCAGCAGCCGCGGUAAUACGGAGGGUGCAAGCGUUACUCGGAUUCACUGGGCGUAAAGAGUGCGUAGGCGGGGUAGUAAGUCAGAUGUGAAAGCCUGUAGCUUAACUACAGGACUGCAUUUGAAACUGUUACUCUGGAGUGUGGGAGAGGUAGGUGGAAUUCUUGGUGUAGGGGUAAAAUGCGUAGAGAUUAAGAGGAAUACUCAUGGCGAAGGCGACCUGCUGGAACGUGACUGACGCUGAUGCACGAAAGCGUGGGGAGCAAACAGGAUUAGAUACCCGGGUAGUC